This 468-nucleotide ribosomal RNA is filed under the name uncultured bacterium. RNAcentral describes it as "partial 16S ribosomal RNA". It matches the Rfam family "Bacterial small subunit ribosomal RNA", at positions 28 to 507 of the family's 1533-position model. The record is from RNAcentral.
GACGAACGCUGGCGGCGUGCUUAACACAUGCAAGUCGAACGGAAAGGCCCUGCUUUUGUGGGGUGCUCGAGUGGCGAACGGGUGAGUAACACGUGAGUAACCUGCCCUUGACUUUGGGAUAACUUCAGGAAACUUGGGCUAAUACCGGAUAGGAGCUCCUGCUGCAUGGUGGGGGUUGGAAAGUUUCGGCGGUUGGGGAUGGACUCGCGGCUUAUCAGCUUGUUGGUGGGGUAGUGGCUUACCAAGGCUUUGACGGGUAGCCGGCCUGUGUGGGUGACCGGCCACAUUGGGACUGAGAUACGGCCCAGACUCCUACGGGAGGCAGCAGUGGGGAAUAUUGCACAAUGGGCGGAAGCCUGAUGCAGCAACGCCGCGUGCGGGAUGACGGCCUUCGGGUUGUAAACCGCUUUCGCCUGUGACGAAGCGUGAGUGACGGUAAUGGGUAAAGAAGCACCGGCUAACUACGUG